AGGGGCCCCUGUAAAGUAUGCUGGGCAAUCUGGUGGUUGCACCAGAGGAGAAAACGGAACACUAUAACCAAUUCUUCAUGUCCGUUUUCCUGUGCAGGGACCGGGACUCCCCUGCUGUGAUGCCAGAUGGACUCGAGGGGAAUGCCUACAUACCUCAGG
Long non-coding RNA from Gavialis gangeticus (Gharial), 159 nucleotides. RefSeq lists it as uncharacterized. The transcript is spliced from 3 exons. The record is from RefSeq and is a predicted model, not a curated record. Lineage: Eukaryota; Metazoa; Chordata; Crocodylia; Gavialidae.